GGGCGAAUGGUCUAGGGGUAUGAUAUUCGCUUUGCAUAUAAUCUGAUACAUCCAUCAGAUGCCGUGCCUGCGAAGGGUCCGGGGUUCAAAUCCCCGUUCGUCCA
Molecule: non-coding RNA, 104 nt
Organism: Xylaria cubensis
Lineage: Eukaryota; Fungi; Ascomycota; Sordariomycetes; Xylariales; Xylariaceae
Source: the annotation of a GenBank genome assembly